RNAcentral lists this ribosomal RNA (394 nucleotides) under uncultured bacterium. Its description in RNAcentral is "partial 16S ribosomal RNA". It matches the Rfam family "Bacterial small subunit ribosomal RNA", at positions 523 to 918 of the family's 1533-position model. The record is from RNAcentral.
AUACGUAGGGAGCGAGUGUUGUCCGGAAUUACUGGGCGUAAAGGGCGCGUAGGCGGCGCUUCAAGUCGUCUGUCAAAUGGGAGGGCUUAACCCUUUUUCGCAGACGAAACUGGAGAGCUUGAGAAGCAGAGAGGCAAACAGAAUUCCUGGUGUAGCGGUGAAAUGCGUAGAUAUCAGGAAGAAUACCAGUGGCGAAGGCGGUUUGCUGGCUGCAUACUGACGCUGAAGCGCGAAAGCCAGGGGAGCAAACGGGAUUAGAUACCCCGGUAGUCCUGGCAGUAAACGAUGUAUGCUGGGUGUGGGAGUAGCGAUACCUCCGUGCCGAAGUUAACGCGAUAAGCAUACCGCCUGGGGAGUACGGUCGCAAGAUUGAAACUCAAAGGAAUUGACGGGG